Non-coding RNA from Triticum aestivum (bread wheat), 123 nucleotides. The record is from Rfam. Lineage: Eukaryota; Viridiplantae; Streptophyta; Magnoliopsida; Poales; Poaceae.
GAUGUACUCCCUCUGUCCGGAAAUACUUGUCGGAGAAUUGGAUGUAUCUAGACAUAUUUUAGUUCUAGAUACAUCCAUUUUUCCAUUUGUGCGACAAGUAAUUCUGGACGGAGAGAGUAUUCG